RNAcentral lists this ribosomal RNA (442 nucleotides) under Bhandara semiclara. RNAcentral describes it as "partial large subunit ribosomal RNA". The record is from RNAcentral. Lineage: Eukaryota; Metazoa; Arthropoda; Insecta; Hemiptera; Cicadellidae.
UAAUUUCUGCCCUAUGAAUAUUUAAAUGGCUGCAGUAUUUUGACUGUGCAAAGGUAGCAUAAUAAUUAGUCAUUUAAUUGUUGACUGGAAUGAAUGAAUAUAUGAGAUAUAAUUUUUAUUUGAUUUAUUUAUUGAAUUUUAUUUUUUGGUAAGAAAGCUUAAUUGAAUUUUAGGGACGAUAAGACCCUAUAGAACUUUAUUAAUUUUUUAAAAAAGAUGAAUUUAGUUAAUUAAUUUUUUAUUUUAUUUCUAUUAGUUUGGUUGGGGUGACAUGUAAAUUUAACUUUACUUUAUUAUUUCAUUUAUUUAUGUAAUUUUGAUCCAUUUUUUAGAUAACAAGAUUAAGUUACCUUAGGGAUAACAGCGUAAUUUUAGUGGGGAGUUCUUAUUUAUACUAAAGUUUGCGACCUCGAUGUUGAAUUAAGAUAAGCUUAGGGGGUAG